GUAGGUGGCAAGCGUUGUCCGGAAUCAUUGGGCGUAAAGCGCGCGCAGGCGGUCCUUUAAGUCUGAUGUGAAAGCCCACGGCUCAACCGUGGAGGGUCAUUGGAAACUGGGGGACUUGAGUACAGAAGAGGAAAGCGGAAUUCCAAGUGUAGCGGUGAAAUGCGUAGAGAUUUGGAGGAACACCAGUGGCGAAGGCGGCUUUCUGGUCUGUAACUGACGCUGAGGCGCGAAAGCGUGGGGAGCAAACAGGGAUUAGAUACCCUGGUAGUCCACGCCGUAAACGAUGAGUGCUAAGUGUUAGGGGGGUUUCCGCCCCCUUAGUGCUGCAGCUAACGCAUUAAGCACUCCGCCUGGGGAUACGGCCGCAAGGCUG
RNAcentral lists this ribosomal RNA (373 nucleotides) under uncultured organism. RNAcentral's name for it is "partial 16S ribosomal RNA". It matches the Rfam family "Bacterial small subunit ribosomal RNA", at positions 527 to 896 of the family's 1533-position model. The record is from RNAcentral.